This is a long non-coding RNA of Cyanistes caeruleus (blue tit), 4184 nucleotides long. RefSeq lists it as uncharacterized. The record is from RefSeq and is a predicted model, not a curated record. NCBI's taxonomy places the organism in Eukaryota, Metazoa, Chordata, Aves, Passeriformes, Paridae.
AUUAGACUACAUGCCAUUUCAGAGCAGGCUGGAGGGCAGAGGCAGCUGAUUCUAACCUGAUUACUGAUGCAGACUGCCUUCUUUCACCCUGUUCCUGUGCAUUGCAGCACCUGACCGUGCCAGCAACCAAGAGUAUUUUUCCUUAAAUGCCUUGGCUGAACUAUAAAUGAUGAAAAUAAUAAGGUUCUUCCUUGAACACUGGUCUUAAAUGUGCAACAAAUGCUAGGCGAGAACUCUUUUAUUAGAAAGCAUCUUGUAUUUCUCAAUAAUUUUGCCAAUAUCUGUUCGAGAAGUUCCCACAAAAAUGUUCCCCCUGAGAUGACAGCCUCAUCAGCAUGGAAGAGGGAAAAAGGGAUUUUUUUUUCCCUGAUAAAAUGAACUGUGUUCAGAUGGCUGUAACCUGGGAAUAUUGCAGCCUUUGGUGAAGACUUUAAUACUUAUCUGUGUGUUGCUGUAAAAUAUUAUUGACUUUGUUAAACAUAUGUGAUUCUCUGCACCAGCAGGUCUUGCAGGCACUGAGGCAGGACUGAGCAGAAGGUGCUGCUCCCACCCCAGAAGGGCAGAGGACAUCCCACGUGUGCUACCAAAUCCUAAACAUUCACGUCAGUACUGCUACAACACAUCUGGUCCUCAAAGUCCAGAUUCCAGCAGGGAUUUGAUGACAGCGCAGGGCAGGUGAGCCUGGUGGGCAGGAGGGCACUGCUUUGCAGCUCCACACUGGACUCCUCCAGGUAACUCCUACCUUAGCUGGCCAAGUACAGCCAGGUAACUUCAAUGUGUAAAGUGUAAAUGUAAAAACUGACUGCAGGGGUUGAAAUUUUGCUGCAGAGACAUACUUGUAAUGUGCUGGCACAAAAAAAAAUUAUGCCUUGGUGCAAGGCUCUAUUUUUUCCACUUUUUUUGCCUCUCCAGUGUUCUUAUGACUCUUACAGCUCUAAAUCUGCUUCUCAUCUUUGGAUGCAAUAUUGGAAGCAAUAAAUAAGCCUGCUUUAGCACUCUGUUAAAGUCAGAAGUGAUUAUUAGGCGCUGAAUCAGGCUCUAAGGGGCGGAAUGGUUCAUACUCAUGUAAAUCAAACGCCUCCUUGCACAGCAGCCAGGACUGCAGCUGCACCCUCCUCCUAUCAAACUUGUAUCAGACUCAUGUCUGAUGUUACACUUGACUGCACUUGUAAAGAAGGUUUCUUGGCUGGGGAUUGAUUUUGCUCUCACUGAUUUCAGCAGACAAAAAAAGCACAUCUCUGUUCUUACCUGAUAUGCAAGCAGGAGUCGUGAGCUCCCAAACUUUCACCCUGGAGGAAAGACUCCCUUAAACACUGGGAUCUCUCCUCUGAUACCUCAUGAAUUUAUAUUGAUAUUCUGGUAUUUCAUAAGUCAGGAAAGAGAUUACAGCUCUUCAUCAAAGCUUUUAUUUCCCUGGUAGCAGCAGGCUGAGCCACUGGACCCAGGUGACCACAUCAUCCCCCCUCCAACUCCUGCCACUGUCAGUGCGAGUUAACAGCAAACAGGGUGAAACACUUCCAAGAAAGCAGCCAGCCUUUCCUCUAGGCAGCAGAUGUUUCCCCCCACCCAGAAGGCUUCUCAGCCCCAACAUCCCCCUCCUGUACACAUCCCAGUGGACCUGGGCUAAUGACUCGUGCCCAGGUGCCGUGGGCAGGGCGCCCACUCCUGCUCUGCGCUGUCCCCCGAGCUGCUUGGCAUCUCUUGAAGUAUUUAUAAACUGACUGAGACACAUUCACUGUGGGUAUCAGCUUUCACGGGAGCCAUAUGCCACUUUAGAGGACAAAGUAUAAUCUUCAAGGGAAAAAAAAAACCAAGCAACUUCAUGCACUUCCUAAUCAUUCAUAUUCUUCCGAGCCAUCCAUUUAUUGCCUCCCAUUCAUCUCUGUUUUUAAUGACUCAGCGGGUGAUUUCUUGCUUACACUGAAUCAGACCCAAUGCUAUUAUCUCUCUGCCAUAGAUUUCCUCAUUUUGCUGCAAGAUUUCUACUUUUUUUUUCCACUGUACAGCUGGUUCCAGAGUGCCAACAUUAUCGAGUCAACACAGCAGAAGCAGCAAGGCAAUGAAAGCAUAUGAUUUGUAUUUCCUGAUGAAAUCUGUAAAGACCUCCCCCCCCCAUAAUAUUUAGCAUUAAGUCAAUAGUAAAACUUACAAGCUUUUCAUCAGGUGAUCGUUUAAAAAGUCACAGGACCAAUUAAAAACAUUUUGUAUUUCUGCCAAGGAUUGUGAUGAGAUUAAUGUUGCAAAUUAACUCAUAACUGACAUGCAAAAUAAUCCCAUUUGCUGAAACAUGGCCAAUAAUAGUUAAUCUUCCCUUCCACAUUACGGUUUUUGACUUUUCUAUGGUAUUAUUGUGGCAAAUAACAUCUAUACAUAAUUUCUGCUUUUCCACAGCUGAGUACAGUUUAUGAGUAGACUUAGUAUUUUUUCAGUUCUAUUGCAUAGAUGGAGAUAUUUCCUAAUGAUCAGGGGUAAGGGAUUAAAAAUGACCUGGAAGUGUGCUGCAAACAGAAGAGGAGCAGCCCCAGGCAAUGCUUCUGUACCUGUGAUGGGUCUCCUUCAUUUUCCUCUGGGCUUCCUCUAUUUUUAUUUUCCUCAAUGUGUGAGUGAGCCUGGACUUACUGACCAAGUACCUAGAAUCUGGGAAAGUCCACAUCCAAGUACCAAGCUCAUAUUACUGCAGCAAGGGAUAAAUUCAUCUGGGUAUGUCCAUUCAACUUCUCUUGGUAACACACACUGAAUUUUCCUUGGAGAGUUUGGCUUCAGAGGAUUAGCAGCACUCCUUCUGUCAUGGCUGAUAAACACCAUAUGGAUCAAGGGUAAUCCACUGGCUGCCUUAGGAGUGGGGAAGCCUCCCAGAAGUGAGAUAAAUCCACAUCCCAGUCCUGUGAACAGGGCUUGUCCUUAGGGCACUGCUUCAGUGCAAGGCAGAUAAAAGCAAGUAUGGGACGAGUGAGUUGUUCUGAGUAACACUGAACUGUUUUCCUGGCAGCAGAGGAACUUCACCCAGCUCACACCACGUGUAAACCUGACACUUUUAGCCCACUUUUAAAAAGCAUCCCUUUGAAUCAGCAAUAAAGAGGAUGCUGCUAUUGUGGGAUUGGCACCAGGACCGGACUGGAGCCUUUGGUAAGCAAUUCCUGUGGGAACAGCAUGGUCCUGCACACAUGGAAAAGUUCAGGAGUGAGAAACACACCCAGAGAGCAACCAGAUGACUGUGUACUGAAUGCUGUGCUCACCAGCAGUGCUGCAGGGACAGACAGAGGAUGAGGGGGGAUGUCCUAGGAAUGGGGGGCAAUAGGAAUAUCCUGAGCCACCCCUCAUGUCAGAGACCUGCUUUUACAUGAUUAGCCCUACUGGAAUCUGAAGCAUGGAAGAGAGCAGCAGAAACUGGCUUUGAAUUAUCACAUGAGCAAGGACAUAUUUAUAAUUACAUAAAUUCCAAAUAGUAGAGCUUAGCAGUCACAAACCCUGUGUUUGUUUUCCAAGUGCUUUCCAUUUGUUGGGAAAUUAUUGCAAUUAUAUGCAAGAAAUCAGGAAGGUGGCUUGGAUAAUUUUCAAUUAGCUGCUUGAAAAUGCUUUGAAGAUAAAUUUAGCCAGAUUUUCUGAGUCUAUUUACUUGUUCCAGCUUAUCUGUGCAAAUACAAUUGGCUGCAGCUGCCUCAGACCAUCUUUAAAAACUUGCAGUGCCAAUGUAUGGAGCAGUUUUAACCUGGGCACUGCUUUUUGCCAUAGCACAGAUUAACCAGACAAAAGAGUCUUUUAUGCCAUAAUUCCUAACUCUCUCUCCCUAAUGUCACUCUUGCUUUAAUGUCUUUUUCCUACCCAUACAUUUGGCCAUUGCUGGGAAGGUUUCCAUGCUGGCACAGCACUGUGCUCUCCAUCCCUGUCACUGCCCAUGGAGCUGGGUGUUUCCAGAUACACCACCAGCAUUUUCCCAGCCCCUAGCCCUGCAUGGUGUAAUUUUCCACCAUUUGGAUUCUUACAACCCAUUAAAGAAUGUUCUGUAUUCAGCACACUCUUUCUGCAUGAGCUGCUGGUCAGCUCUUCCCAAGGAUUACCAGUUAGUUCCUACAGCUGUCUCCUCUUUGUUUCCAAGCAGAAGAUGCAGACUCAGGCAAAUCCUUUAUGAUGUAAGAAAUUAAACAAAAUGAGCAAAACCCAAAUAAAGAAUGUGAGACAUGUGA